RNAcentral lists this long non-coding RNA (1904 nucleotides) under Homo sapiens (human). RNAcentral's name for it is "long independently transcribed non-coding RNA 2757, transcript variant 2 (LINC02757)". The record is from RNAcentral. Lineage: Eukaryota; Metazoa; Chordata; Mammalia; Primates; Hominidae.
AGAGAGGAUGCACACUCUGAAGAGGGCAGGCAGCUUCUGCACCGAGGGAGCAAAGGGGCGUGUCAGGGGCAGCUGCUGGAAGGAGGCGCAAGCACCACGGAGAGUCUGGGAUGCCCAGCCAAGGAGCCCUGGAAGGGUUGCCCUGGGGACUGACACUGUGGGCUCUGUGUUUUAGCCAAGUCACCCAGGCAGCUGAACAGAAGAUGGACUGGAGGGAGAAGCCUGGAUGAUCGCUCAGCAACAAAGGAGCCAGAAAAGGCAAGGUGUACACACCGUGUGCAGCAUGGGCGAGCUGCAGGCAUGCAGAACUUCUGAGUCCUAACCAUGGCUGGUGGCUCUUCCAGGAACAUGGUUUCCUGGACCCAAAAGAUGAGGAAACUGAGGCUUGGAGAGGCUCUCUGCCUUUGUCAACCUGGAGAUGCUGGGAAGGAAGUGAGGCCCAUCCCACCUCAGAUGCCUGUCCUCUGUCGUCAGGAGCAUUCUCUUGUUCUUCCGGGCUUGGCCAAGCGGUGGUAAACCCCACAUGUGGUUCUGUGGUUGCCCACACAGUCCUAAAAAUAGCCAACAGGAACCCAGGGGCUCCCCCUUGGUGAGUGGCAGCAGGCCCAGUCCUCAGGCAGCCACCAACCUGCUCACUCCCCACAGGCAAGCAGGUCCUGUCUAGGAAGGGGCUGGGUGGCCUGGGUCCCAUGCAUGAUGAGCCAGAGGCUGUGCCAAGCUUAUAGCAAAUAUUAUUUUAUUUCAUUAUGUUUUCUUACAUCUGUGAUGUGGAGGCCAUAGCUCCACUGGACUCAUGAGGAGACUGAGGCUCAGAGCAAUGAAGUGACCUGCUCAAAGUUAAGGAGCUUCAGUUUGGACCCAAUUUGUUCUGAUCCUAAGGUCACUAUCCUUAAUCCCUCUCCCUGUGGGGUCUUCCCUAUCUUGAGCCUGUGGACAGCUGUGCAGUGGCAAGAAAAAGGCCUUCAGAGCUACGCAGACCUGGCUUCAAAUCCCAGCCUCCCUGAUGAGCCCUGGUGGUCUUGGAGCUGUAACGCUCACUGCGAAGAUCUGCAGCUUCACUCCUGAGCCCAGCGAGACCGUGAACCCACCGGGAGGAACGAACAACUCCAGACCCGCUGCCUUAAGAGCUGUAACACUCACUGCGAAGGUCUGCAGCUUCACUCCUGAGCCAGCGAGACCACGAACCCACCCGAAGGAAGAAACUCCGAACACAUCUGAACAUCAGAAGGGAUAGACUCCAGAUGCGCCACCUUAAGAGCUGUAACACUCACCGCGAGGGUCCGCAGCUUCAUUCUUGAAGUCAAUGAGACCAAGAACCCACCAAUUCCGGACACAAAAUGACACAGUCCCUGCCCACAUGGAGCUGACAUUCUCAUGGAGAGAAAGGGACAAAUAAACAAAUGUACAAUACUCCAAGUAGUCAUAGUGCUGUGAAGAAAAUAAAGUGAUACAAGGGAACUAUGAGAACCUUGGGAAUGGGGGCGCUGUUUUAAACAGGCCCAUUUGGAAGUUUCUCUUUCCUUUGAGCCAAGUCCUGAAGGAAAUGAGAGAGGGAUAUGGGGGGAAGAAUGUUCCAGGCAGAGAGAUCAGCCAGUGCAAAGGCCCUGAGGCAGGAGUGUGCCCCAAGGGGUGUAGGAACAGUGUGGAGCUGGUAGGGCUGUGGCAGAGUGAGGGUGAGAGAGAAAGGAAGGGGGUGAUGGGCCUGGGGGGCAGACCAUGCUGAGCAGCGGCUUUUAAUUUUUAUUGAUUACAUCUUCCAUAAGAAAUCAGUUUUAUAUGGCAAUCCAAGACAGAUAUCCACAUAUAAACAUACAACUGAGAUAAACUAUAUGUGUGCACUCUGAUAUAUUUUAUUUUAUUUUAUUCUGUUUCAUUAAAAAAUAACAUGAGUAAUGAUCUUCAAA